GCUGGGUGUGGUAGUGCACACCUGUAAUCCCAGCAACUCAGGAGGCUGAGACAGAAGAAUCACAUAUUUGAGGCCAGCCUCAGCAAUUUAGCAAGAACUUAAGCAACUUAGUGAGACCCUGUCUCAA
RNAcentral lists this small RNA (127 nucleotides) under Marmota monax (woodchuck). The record is from RNAcentral. Lineage: Eukaryota; Metazoa; Chordata; Mammalia; Rodentia; Sciuridae.